ACAACCGAAACACGCAAAUUCCUGAAUGUUCUGGCAACUGUAAAUCAACAGCUUCUCGGUAUUACCAAAUCCCCUACACCUCAACAAUACAAGACGAUUGUCAUCAAAACUAUCAUUCGUUAUCAAUCAAGAACUUCUGGCAGACAUUUCAAUUUACUGUGACCUUUUGUAAGAAAAACGGCACGAGCAAUAUCAACAAGUCAGUCCUCCUGAGCCUUUCCUUCGACAUGAACUACAACAGGCACAUUUGUGUGCUUUGAUUUGAUGAGAUCACAGGCUUCAAAUAAUAAAGCAGAUGCAGUUUCACUCAAAGUUAUCUGACAGCUUAAUUCUAUUCUUAAUUUAUACAAGAUGGUCUGAUUGUAAAUGAUAAUGGCAAAACAAAUUCCAUUUUAAGAAAACGCACAAAAAGAAAAGAGUUUUUGGAGUAAAUUGGUAGGUCGAGUUGAAACACAUUGAUCCAAAAAUAUUAAGCCAGCUUCAUGUCCCAGUCUCUGGAAAUCACUAUUUAGUUGCUACACAUUAAAAAAAUCAUUCAUGGUAGGUUGAUUGCAGACUCUAAAUUGCCCAUAGGUGUGAAUGUGAGUGCGAAUGCUUGUUGGUUUAUAUGUGCUCUGCGAUUGGCUGGCGACCAGUUCAGGGUGUACCCCGCCUCUCGGCCGAAGCUAGCUGGGAUAGGCUCCGGCACUCCCGCGACCCUCGCCCUCGUGAGGAGAAGCGGUACAGAAUAUGGAUGAAAAAAAAAAGAGAAUGGCAACUUGUAACUCAAAGAUAAGAGAGACAUCAACUUUCCGACACCAUGCAACACUCGGUGCAGGUGAAAGUGGGACUGCAUCAGCUGAUGGCUAGGCUGACAGAUGUGGUGAGACUGGAAUACCCACGGACAAUGAUGUUCGCAGAUGACAUUGUGAUCUGCAGUGAAAGCAGGGAGCAGGUGGAAGAGCAUUUAGAAAGGUGGAAGCAUGCGCUGGAAAGGAGAGGAAUGAAGAUAAGCUGAAGUAAGAUGAGCGAGGCUACAGGGACAAGAGAUAGUGGCGGUGGAGGACUUUAUAUACUUAGGGUCAACAGUCCAGAGCAAUGGGGAGUGUGAACAAGAACCUUCAGUUGACUGACUUUUCAGUGGGGAGUACAAAGAGCAACAUCUUCCACACUCGUUACUGCAUAGCUCUUCUUUCGGAUGCCACACAUCUCCCUCUCAAGUCGGGGAUGAGAUCCUGCCCCAAGUGGAGGAGUUCAAGUAUCUUGGGGUCUUGUUCACAAGUGAGGGAAGAAUGGAACGGGAGAGCGACAGGCGGAUCGGUGCAGCGUCUGCAGUGAUGCGGACUUUGUAUCGGUCCGUUGUGGUAAAGAAGGAGCUAAGCUGAAAGGCGAAGCUCUCAAUUUACCGGUCGAUCUACGUUCCUACCCUCACCUACGGUCACGAGCUGUGGGUCGUGACCGCACAAGUACAAGAUCCCGGAUACGAGCGGCCGAAAUGAGUUUCCUCCACAGGGUGUCCGGGCUCUCCCUUAGAGACAGGGUGAGAAGCUCGGUCAUCCGGGAGGAUCUCAGAGUAGAGUCGCUGCUCCUCCACAUCGAGAGGAACAGGAUGAGGUGGCUGGGACAUCUGAUUCAGAUGCCUCCCGGACGCCUCCCCGGUGAGGUGUUCCGGGCACGUCCCACAGGAAGGAGACCCCGGGGACGACCCAGGACACGCUGGAAAGACUAUGUCUCCCGGCUGGCCUGGGAACGCGUCGGGAUCCGUCCGAAAGAGCUGGAAUAAGUGGCUGGGGAGAGGGGAGGGAAGUCUGAGCAUCCCUGCUAAAGCUACUGCCCCCGCAACCCGACCCGGAUAGGCGGUAGA
Phyllopteryx taeniolatus (common seadragon) is the source of this 1843-nucleotide long non-coding RNA. RefSeq lists it as uncharacterized. Lineage: Eukaryota; Metazoa; Chordata; Actinopteri; Syngnathiformes; Syngnathidae. The record is from RefSeq and is a predicted model, not a curated record. The transcript has 5 exons.